This 478-nucleotide ribosomal RNA is filed under the name uncultured prokaryote. RNAcentral describes it as "bacterial SSU rRNA". It matches the Rfam family "Bacterial small subunit ribosomal RNA", at positions 47 to 548 of the family's 1533-position model. The record is from RNAcentral.
CUUAACACAUGCAAGUCGAGAUGGCUCCUUCGGGAGUGGAUUAGCGGCGGACGGGUGAGUAACACGUGGGUAACCUACCUCAAAGAGGGGGAUAGCCUCCCGAAAGGGAGAUUAAUACCGCAUAAUAAUCAGUUUUCACAUGGAGACUGAUUUAAAGGAGUAAUCCGCUUUGAGAUGGACCCGCGGCGCAUUAGCUAGUUGGUAGGGUAACGGCCUACCAAGGCGACGAUGCGUAGCCGACCUGAGAGGGUGAUCGGCCACAGGAACUGAGAGACGGUCCAGACUCCUACGGGAGGCAGCAGUGGGGAAUAUUGCACAAUGGGCGAAAGCCUGAUGCAGCAACGCCGCGUGAGUGAAGAAGGUUUUCGGAUUGUAAAGCUCUGUCUUUGGGGACGAUAAUGACGGUACCCAAGGAGGAAGCCACGGCUAACUACGUGCCAGCAGCCGCGGUAAUACGUAGGUGGCGAGCGUUGUCCGG